RNAcentral lists this long non-coding RNA (2474 nucleotides) under Gossypium barbadense (sea-island cotton). RNAcentral describes it as "long non-coding RNA (GBAR_LNC007661)". The record is from RNAcentral. Lineage: Eukaryota; Viridiplantae; Streptophyta; Magnoliopsida; Malvales; Malvaceae.
CUCCAAACGCAUGACGCAAUAUCUUGUAAUCGAACCGUUCCUGAUGCCCUUCAUGCCCUUCAUCACCACGAAGCCGGAAUAGCUUGGAUGCCUGUUUCAACCACAUGGAGAAAUCUUAGGAAAAUCUGCAACUUGCACAUUUUCGCUAGUCAGAAACUUGACGCUAACCAACACUUGCGGCGUAACAAAAUAGAACAACUCCUUGCUGAUGUUGGUGAUAGUUCCCGCAUCGGAGAAUCGAUAGAGAUAUCCACUGUUGCUUUCAAAACUACGCUUAAUCUUAUAUCCAAUACUAUUUUCUCCGUCGAUUAUGCCGACUCUUCUUCUAAUACUGCCCUGGAAUUCAGAGAAAUUUUACAGGUUAUCAAGGAAGAGUUGGGAAAAGCCAAUUUUGGUGAUCUUUUUCCUACUCUAGCUAAACUUGACUUGCAAGGCAUAAGGCGUCGCAUGGCAAUUCAUUCUAAGAAGAUGAUGAAUAUUUUUGAUAAAGAGAUUGAUAAGCGGUUGGAGUUGAGAAAGAUGACUGAUUAUAUACCAGCUCAAGAUUUUUUGGAUACUCUUCUCCAAAUCAGUGAAGAUGAUAACGAAGAGCUUGACAGAAAUCUGAUAAAACAUUUGUUUUUUGUACUUUUUCUCUCUUCAGCCUCUCAAUUGUUUUCUUCCUUUUUUUUUUUUUUAGUCCAUAACUCGGUAAGAAUUUGUGAAACAGGAUUUGUUCACUGCAGGAACGGAUUCAGUUACAAGUACACUGGAAUGGGCAAUGGCGGAAUUACUCCAUAACCCAAAAGCUUUACAGGAAGUCCGAAGAGGACUACAACAAAUAAUUGGCAAAGGGAACGUACUGGAGGAAUCUAAUGUUACUCGUUUACCUUAUUUGCAAGCAAUUGUCAAGGAAACGUUGAGAUUGCAUCCUCCAGUUCCUUUCUUACUUCCUCGAAAAGCUGAAGUAGAUAUCAAGAUUCACGAAUUCGUCAUUCCAAAGGGUGCACAGGUGUUGAUCAAUGCAUGGGCUAUAGGCAGAGAUCCUAAUUUCUGGGAGGAGCCUGAAUUGUUUAGUUUAGAGAGGUUCAUAGAAUCAGAAAUUGAUGUUAAAGGAACGAACUUUGGAUUGAUUCCAUUUGGGGGAGGGCGACGAAUUUGCCCUGGAUUACAAUUGGCCAUUAGAAUGUUGCCCUUAAUGCUGGGUACACUUAUUCAUUCAUUUGAUUGGGAACUUGAAGAUGGAGUCACACCUCAAAGUUUAAACAUGGAUGAAACGUACGGUCUUAUUUUACAGAAAACUCAACCAUUAAAAGUUAUCCCUCGUUCGAUUUAAUAAUAAUUUAUUGUAUAUUUUUAUCUAUAACUUUUGAAAAAUUUAAGUAUUAGAAAAGUUAAGUAUUGAAUUUUACUGUUAAAUUUUAUGAGAGCUAAAUCUAUAUUAGAAAAUUGUUUGAUAAAUUAGUAAAUAUAAAUAUUAAAUAUAAUUAUGUUGUUAGAUAAAAGUAAAUAUUAAUUUUUAAUUUUAAUCUUAUUAAUAUAUUAUUUUAUAUAUUUUGGAUUGUUUUCGGUGAAAGAUAAAUAUAGUAAUUUAAAUAUGUCUUUCUUUUAAGAGAAGGAUAAUUUGUUUUAAUUUUUUAAUAAAAUAAAAUUAAUUUAAUAUUUUUUAGAUUAAGUAAUAACUAUCUACCUAUCUACUUAUCUUAUUCAACACUUUCUAAAAAAAAUUCAUAAUAAAAAAAUAAAAAUGGUUAUCAAACAUAUUUAAAGUAUUAAAUGUUGAAAACUUUCAUUUUCAAUGAUUUAUCAGACACACCCUUUAUUAAUAGUAAGUUAUUAUAGAAUUAUUUUAGAUUAUCUUUCAUUUUUUUUCAAACAUUGUGGGCAAUGCUAGCAUUCAUUAAUCACAUAAAUUAUUGCCACAAUACAUCUUAUAUAUAUAUAUAACAAUAUUUUCCACUGCUCAUAAAUUAUGUGAACUAAAGUAUUGGUACCAAGGAUAUAAAUACACAUACCAACUUAGACGCGUAGUCAGCUCCCCGAUUUCACCCAGAUUUCUUGAUGAUUAGCCGUCCCGAUCCUUCAACCUCAGCAUGGACCCAAACUACUCGUCCCUCCUUGAAACAUGUUUUGAUUAUUUGUAUCUAUAACUACUGAAGAGCAAUAAUUGAAACUUACUUGAUGAAAAGUUAUUAUCAAAUUAUUUUGUAUUUUAUUCAUGUUUUUCAAACAUUGUGGGCAAUGACAACAUCAAUCACAUAAAAAUCAUGCGUACCUAUUCACUAUCAAGUCAUGUCUGGGAGCCAACAUUCACAUUUGAACUCAACAAAGGUUCGUUUCGUCAACAACCAAAAUAUAUCUGCCACAACACAUAUAUUAGAUAUAUAUGGAUUAAACAACUUUCUCCAUUGUCAUUGAAGCUUAGUGAGCAAGAAUCUUGAUACCAAGGAUACAAGUGUAUGUACAAGUACGUAUACCAAGUUCGAAAAAUCCUC